GCCCGGUUAGCUCAAUCGGUAGAGCGUGAGACUCUUAUACUCUUGUAGAGGUAAAUCUCAAGGUUGCGGGUUCGACCCCCGCAUCGGGCU
This 90-nucleotide transfer RNA is filed under the name Hypoxylon rubiginosum. RNAcentral's name for it is "tRNA-Lys". It matches the Rfam family "tRNA". From Rfam's summary of the family: Transfer RNA (tRNA) molecules are approximately 80 nucleotides in length. Lineage: Eukaryota; Fungi; Ascomycota; Sordariomycetes; Xylariales; Hypoxylaceae. The record is from RNAcentral.